UUCCAGCUCCUCACCGCCCUCUAUGGACCACUGUAAUGUGGUUACAGAAGGAGGAGGGACGGAUGGAUGGCUGUUCAAUUGGAUUUGCUCCUUCCUGCCUGUAAUGGAUUUCACCAGUGAGAAUGGAAAAGACACCCCAGCGCAGCUUCUGCCAUCUGGUCACCCAGGAAGGGGCUGUCACUGCAAGAUAUCCCAAAAACCAGGAGGACGAGCCAGACAUCAAUUCAGAUGCGUCUGUGAUACGGAGAAAUGAGAGGAAACCAGGAAGCGACCGAGUAAAACCACGAAGCCGUGCGGCCUGGACUUUCACUAAAAGCUCGCUCAUCGUUACGACUCACGGAUCAUUUCCGCUCUCGUUCUGAGCCGGACCUUAAAUGAACCAAGGCUUUGAUCAGCCUUCAUGGAAACCCCCAUAAAUCCCUGCACCCAACCACAGAGCGACCUGGACACACUGCCGUUUUACCCGUGAGUGCAUUUCCAUUUCCCCGCGAAAUGGUCAUUAAUAACCGCUCUGGGUCGUUCC
Long non-coding RNA from Anguilla anguilla (European eel), 523 nucleotides. RefSeq lists it as uncharacterized. The transcript is spliced from 3 exons. The record is from RefSeq and is a predicted model, not a curated record. NCBI's taxonomy places the organism in Eukaryota, Metazoa, Chordata, Actinopteri, Anguilliformes, Anguillidae.